This 371-nucleotide ribosomal RNA is filed under the name uncultured bacterium. RNAcentral describes it as "bacterial SSU rRNA". It matches the Rfam family "Bacterial small subunit ribosomal RNA", at positions 527 to 896 of the family's 1533-position model. The record is from RNAcentral.
GGGGGGGGCAAGCGUUGUUCGGAAUUACUGGGCGUAAAGGGCUCGUAGGCGGCCAACUAAGUCAGACGUGAAAUCCCUCGGCUUAACCGGGGAACGGCAUCUGAUACUGGAUGGCUGGAGUUCGGGAGAGGGAUGCGGAAUUCCAGGUGUAGCGGUGAAAUGCGUAGAUAUCUGGAGGAACACCGGUGGCGAAGGCGGCAUCCUGGACCGACACUGACGCUGAGGAGCGAAAGCCAGGGGAGCAAACGGGAUUAGAUACCCCGGUAGUCCUGGCCCUAAGCGAUGAAUGCUUGGUGUGGCGGGUAUCGAUCCCUGCCGUGCCGAAGCUAACGCAUUAAGCAUUCCGCCUGGGGAGUACGGUCGCAAGGCUG